RNAcentral lists this ribosomal RNA (1500 nucleotides) under uncultured bacterium. RNAcentral describes it as "partial 16S rRNA". It matches the Rfam family "Bacterial small subunit ribosomal RNA". The record is from RNAcentral.
AGAGUUUGAUCCUGGCUCAGAUUGAACGCUGGCGGCGUGCUUAACACAUGCAAGUCGAGCGGCAUCUCGGAGGCCACCCUGGCGGCCAGCGACUAACGGUGUGCGUAAUGCAAGGGAAUCUGCCUACUAAUGCGGAGUAACCCUGCCAAAGCCGGGCUCAUGCCACAUACGACCUACGGCUGAAAGCGGGCGAUCACUCGACCGUCGUGCUGUUACAUGACCCAUGUCUGAUUAUCGUGUCUGGCAUGGUAACAGCCUACCGAUGCGACAAUCCCCAACUGGUCUGACAAGACGGCCACCCCCUCUGAGACUGAUACACCGCCCAGACUCCUACAGGAGGCACCAAUGCGGAAUUUUGGACAAUGGGCGAAAGCCUGAUCCAUCGACGCCACCUGUGUGAAGAAAGCCUGCGGGUUGUAAAACACUUUCUUUGGCAACGAACUGUGCCCGUCUAAUACACCCGCAAGCUGACAUUGCCCGAAUAAGAACCACCUGCUAACUCUGUGCCAGCCGCCGCAGUAAUACAGAGGGUGCCAGCAUUCAUCAUAAUUACUGGUUGUAAAGGGCGUGUAGGCCGCUUUGCCACUCGGGUGUGAGAGAUUCCGGCUUAACCCUUAGAGGUCAUCCCAAACUGACUAUCUUGAAUGCUAGAAAAGAUAAUGUACUUCCUGGUGUAUCAAGUGCAUGCAUAUAGAUCAGGACGAACACCACUGACGAAAGCUUCCAUCUGAACACUAACUGACACUGACGCACGCAAGCGUGGGGAGCAAACUUGAUUACAUACCCUGUUAGUCCACGCCAUAAACUAUAAAUACUAUGUGUAGGGGGUAUUGACCCCCCGUGUGCAGCAGUUAACACAAUAAGUAUUCCACGUGAGGAGUACGGCCGCAAGGUUGAUACUCAAAGGAAUUGACGGGGGCCCGCACAAGCAGUGGAGUAUGUGGUUUAAUUCGAAGCAAGGAGAAGAACCUUACCAGGGCUUGACAUCGUAUGAUGGCGGUAGAGAUACAGCUUUUCGUUAGGGGACAGAGAGACAGGUGGUGCAUGGUCGUUGUUAGCUUGUGUUGUGAGAUGUUGGGUUAAGUUCCGCAACGAGCGCAACCCCUAUGGUCAGUUGCCAGCAAGUCAAGGUGGCCAUUCUGGCGAGACUGCGGUUGACAAAACGGAGGAAGGUGGGGAGGACGUCAAUUCAUCAUGCCCUUUAUGUCAUGGGUUACACACGUAUUACAAUGGCAACAACAGAGGGCAGACAGGCCGGGAGGUUGAGCGAAUCCCAAAAUGUUGUCUCAGUUCAGAUUGCAGUCUGCAACUCGCCUGCAUGAAGUCGGAAUUGCUAGUAAUGGCAGGUCAGCAUACUGCGGUGAAUACGUUCCCGGGCCUUGUACACACCGCCCGUCACACCAUGAGAGUCUGUAACACCAGAAGUCAGUAGCUUAACUGCAAAGAGACCGCUGCCCAAGGUGGGACAGAUAAUUGGGGUGAAGUCGUAACAAGGUAACC